GUCAUAUCAGGUCGAAACACCAGUUCCUGUACGAUCGCCGAAGUUAAAAACAACGUCGAGCCUUAUCAAUACCUAGAUGGGUGACCGCUUGGGAAUAUCAGCUGCAGUA
Molecule: non-coding RNA, 109 nt
Organism: Acanthosepion pharaonis
Lineage: Eukaryota; Metazoa; Mollusca; Cephalopoda; Sepiida; Sepiidae
Source: the annotation of a GenBank genome assembly